This 200-nucleotide ribosomal RNA is filed under the name uncultured bacterium. RNAcentral's name for it is "partial 16S ribosomal RNA". It matches the Rfam family "Bacterial small subunit ribosomal RNA", at positions 8 to 205 of the family's 1533-position model. The record is from RNAcentral.
AGAGUUUGAUCCUGGCUCAGAAUCAACGCUGGCGGCGUGCCUAACACAUGCAAGUCGAGCGAGAAAGGGGCUUCGGCCCUGAGUAAAGCGGCGCACGGGUGAGUAACACGUGGGUAAUCUGCCCUAGAGUGGGGAAUAACACCGGGAAACCGGUGCUAAUACCGCAUACGAUCACGAUAUCUUCGGAUGUUGUGAUGAAA